UCCCUGGUGGUCCAGUAAGACUCUGUACUUCCAAUGCAAGGGGCCCAAGUUCAAUCCCUGGUCAGGGAA
This 69-nucleotide transfer RNA is filed under the name Bos taurus (domestic cattle). It matches the Rfam family "tRNA". From Rfam's summary of the family: Transfer RNA (tRNA) molecules are approximately 80 nucleotides in length. Their secondary structure includes four short double-helical elements and three loops (D, anti-codon, and T loops). The record is from Rfam by way of RNAcentral. Lineage: Eukaryota; Metazoa; Chordata; Mammalia; Artiodactyla; Bovidae. RNAcentral also lists the same sequence under 5 other names.